This 123-nucleotide non-coding RNA is filed under the name Hippea maritima. RNAcentral's name for it is "MoCo sequence". It matches the Rfam family "Molybdenum/Tungsten riboswitch aptamer (Moco RNA motif)". The record is from RNAcentral. Lineage: Bacteria; Pseudomonadati; Campylobacterota; Desulfurellia; Desulfurellales; Hippeaceae.
AAAGUUUGUGAUCUCCGAGCGGUUAAGCCUACGGGUUUAUGCCUAUGGUUUUUCCGCCGAUAGGGUGUAGGCGGAAACGCUUGCGCCUCCCGUGUUUGGAAAGGAGGUAAUUUAGCUAUUUUA